RNAcentral lists this long non-coding RNA (5971 nucleotides) under Piliocolobus tephrosceles (Ugandan red Colobus). Its description in RNAcentral is "lncRNA (ENSPTEG00000016237.1)". Lineage: Eukaryota; Metazoa; Chordata; Mammalia; Primates; Cercopithecidae. The record is from RNAcentral.
AUUUUCGUAAAAAAAUUCAUUUUGUUUAUUAUUUUUUUUCAUUUUUUUCACUAUUUUCACUUUUCUCACCUUUUUCAAUUGUGAAUGUAUUAAAUAUGAAUAUUCGCAUAAAACCAAUUCAAACAAUUUCAAUAAAAGUGUUUUAUUAAUAUUUGUUAAAAUUAAAACAAGAAGGGAGCGUGUUAGAAAAAAAAAAAAAAAAAAAAAAAAAAAAAAAAAAUUUUUUACAGAAAUGAGAUAAAUCACCACAAAUAUAAUACCACUGUAACUGCCACUGUUAUUGCUACUACUACACUUAUUAGCAACAAUGUUUAUGCAGAACCCGAAUUCGAAUAAUAUGUUUGGAUCUUUUAACAAUCAAGGGAAUCAAGCAAAUAAAGGUUUGUUUGGAAACACAGGUUUACAGUCUAAUUUGGCAGGGGGUACAGCCCAGAGUUCUCUUUUUGGAGCUCCAAAAACACAGCAAACAAAUAACAAUAUGAUGAAUAAGAGCAUAUUUAAUAUGAACCCUACUGGUACUACUACUAAUAAUAAUGCAUUAGGUGGUGGGAAAGGUUUGUAUGAUAGUAUGAACACUCAAUCUAAUUUAGGUAACAAAAGUAUAUUUAAUACGACAGGUGUAGGUGGUGUUGGUUCUACUAAUCAAAGUAAUAUGGGUAUAGGUGGUAGUAAUAAUAGUUUAUUUAUGAAUACAAGUAAUACAAAUAAUACAAAUAAUACAAAUGUUAGAAAUAUAUUCGGCACUACAUCAAAUUUAAAUACGCAAGGAACAAACUUAACAAAUAAAAAUAUGUUUGGUGGGUUACAAACAACAAACCAGAAUACACAGUCAAACAAUAUGUUUAGCAAUUUAUUAUCAAAUCAAACAAAUUCCGCAAGUAUGUUUAAUAAUUUAAAUGCAACGAACCAAAAUAAAGGUGGUGGUUUAUUUGGUAGUACGUCUGCAUCUUCUACUAUGAAUACUAAUCAGAAUUCAACAGUAGGCAGUAAUAUAUUUAAUAAUCCGCUUAGUAGUGGUUCUACUACAUCAGGCUUAGGACAGAACAAACCUGGUGGUAGUAGUAUAUUUGGGACGCAACAACAACAAACAAAUCAGGGCAUGCUAGGCAAUACUAUUAAUUCCAAUAGUGGUAGUAGUAUAUUUGGUAGCCCUUUAGGAAUGAAUCAGAAUAAGAAUACGAAUUUAUUUGGNNNNNNNNNNACUGGUGGUUCUACUACAUUAGGCUUAGGACAAAACAAACCAGGUGGAGGUAGUAUAUUUGGGACUCAACAACAACAAACAAAUCAGGGUAUGUUAGGAAAUACUAAUACUGCUAGUAGUAGUCUAUUUAAUUCAAGGGGGUUAGCAAAUCAAAAUAAUGUCGGAACUAAUAAUAUGCUAUCAUCAUCAAUGUCACAAUCAAAUCCUCAAAAUAAAUAUACAAAUAUUUUUGGAUCUACAGCAGGAGGUAAUCUUGGUAAUAUAACAGGAACUGGCAGUUCUAGUCAAUCUGGUUUGACAUUAGGAGGGUUGUCCGGCGGUUUGACUGGUGGUACUAGUCAAUCUGGUUUGACAUUAGGAGGGUUGUCUAGCGGUUUGACUGGUGGGAUGACUGGUGGUAUGUCUAGCGGUUUGACUGGUGGAAUGGCUAGCGGAUUGACUGGUGGGUUGACUGGAAAAUUAACUGGUACAGGUGGACAGACAGGAUUAGGGACACUAAGUGGUACUGGGACAGGCAUGCUGAAUUCUACUAGUAACAAUAUAUUUGGAAAUUUAUCAGCUAAUCAAAACACAGUUAAUUUAAGUGAUAAUAAGAAUUUGUUAGGUGGUAGUACAUCUGGUCAAUCAGUUUUUUCCCUUGGUGCAGGAAAUACAAGUGGUAGUGCAUCUAUGAGUGGUUUGGGUUUAGGAACAUCGUUAACGUCUGGUGUGGGUUCUACUUUUGGUCAAAAUUUGGGACAAGGUUUAGUUCAGAAUUUAGGGCAAGGCUUAGGCCAAGGUUUAGGGCAAAAUAUGGGUUCAAAUAUGACCCCAAGUUUCGGGCAAAGUUUAGGUUCUAGUAUGACUUCAAGUUUGGGUCAAAAUUUAGGUACUGGUUUAAGCCUUGGUAUAACGACUAAUAAGAUGGCCACUCCCAGUAGCACAAGUAUAUUUGGUAGUCAAGGAGGUUCUGGUUUAAAUACAACUUUAGGAACAACAUUAGGAAGUAAUGUUGGUGGUGGUACUGGUGGUGGUAGUACCAUUGGAGUUGGUACCGGUGGUAGUAGUACUGGUUUUGGUUUACCAGGUUUAACUACUAAUUCUGUUAGUACAACUGGUGCUAUUACUGACAGUAGUAAUAACAUGAAGAGUAUCUUAAGUAGCACCAAUAUAAGUGGUAGUAACAUAAAUUUAUUUUCAACUGACAACAGUAUACUUGGUGGUACAAAAAGCGGGAGUACACAAGACAAGUUAACAGGUAUAAGUAGUAGUGAUGGUAAAAAACAAAUGAUUAAUUUACUAGGGACACAAGAAUUAGAAAAAGUUAAAGAUCAAAAAGAUAUUAGUUAUAAAAAAGGUGAUACUAAGGGCAAUAGUGAUUCAUUAUUUAAAAAAUUAGAGGAAGAGUUAGUACUUUUAAAAAAAAAAAAAAAAAAAAAAAAUAAGAAAUUUUAUAAUGGAACUAUAACAAAAAGUAUAUAUAUGAAUGAAGAAUAUGAUUAUGAUAAUAUGUUUUUAUAUAAAGAACAUGGAGGUAAGAAAGCAUUAUAUAAUUAUAUUAAUGUGAUUAUAAAUGACAAUAUUAACAACAUACAAAAAACAACGUUUUCUUUGUUAAAUGAUCAUGAUUUAAAAAUGUGGGACAAUUUUAAAAACAACAUUUUUCAGAAUUUUAUUGAUUAUUUAGUUGAUUCUAAUCAAAAAAUAGAUCAGAAAACAAUUCAGAAUGAUAAUGUUUUAAAUAUAGAUAAGCAUGAAUUUCAAAUUCUUAUUUGGUUAUAUAAUAUGAACUCAUAUAAAAUAGAUUCUAUUUUAAUUACAAGUUUUUAUGAAUUAUUGUUAAAUGGAAUUAAUUUGAAUUCUUCCAAAUUUGUUAUUGAAAAUGCUGAUAGUUUGGUUUUUAAUAGUUUUGUAGAUAUAAAAGACCACUACUUUAUUCAUUUGAACACUCCUUCUUUUUUAACAAAUAUGAACAAAUAUAAGAUGCAGAGAGAAAAAGGAAGUAGUACUAGAAAUAUGAUUAAUGACGAGAAUGGUGUUGGUAUUCGUAGUAAACACGUGUUAGAUGUUGAUUAUAUUUACAAGCAGACUUUGAAAGACAUUUUGACUACCUUAUUGAAUAUGAAUUUUUCGAUAACAAAAGAGAAUAUUCAACGAUGGGGAAGCAUAGGAGGCGUAACGGAGGGUAUAACUAACAGUAGUGGUAAUGGUGCUAUUAGAAAGGGUGCUAUUGGUAAUGGCAUGAAUGGUAACGACUUGAGUGGUAACGGCUUGGGUGGUAACGGCUUGAGUGGUAACGGAGGAAAUGCCUCACAAAACAACAGCAACAUUGGUGAGACAGACAAUGCGAUAUACGAAAACUUGUUACUGAAUUAUCUAUUCUGCACGUUACAACAUUUGCAUAACAAGUAUUAUAGAAUAGAAUUGUGCAAUUAUGUACCGAAAGAUGUAAACGAGUUAGGCCCAUAUUUUAUGGACAAUAAAUCAAAUGAAAUAUUUUAUUAUUGUUAUGGGAAUUUUUUUAGUAACGAAAUGGAUAAAGAUAAUAACACAAUUAACUUUUUUUUUUAUUUAAUUAAUAUUAUGUUUCGUUGUGGUAAUUAUUUAGGUUUAUUACAGAUUAUAAAAAAUCCCAAAUUAAUAAAAAAAUUUAAUAUAGAUGAUUGUUUAAAAGAUUUUAUUAUAUUAUUAAUAAGGAUAUUGUUAUUGAUAUAUAAUAAGCGUAAUGAACGAAGUAUAUGUGAAAAUUUGGAUGUAAAGAUUGAUUGUAAUGACGUUUUAAAAAAAAGAAUUAAUACAUCCAAUAUAAUAAAUUAUUUCCAUACUAUUCUUUUAAAAUAUUUAAAUAAUAUAUAUACAUAUGACUUACUAUGUAUUAUGUUUGCUGAUAUAUUUUGUAAAAAAGGAAAUAUGUAUACGAACAAAGAAAAAAAGAUUAACAUGAGAAACAUUUAUUAUUAUUUGAAAAAAAGUAGAAAAGAAAAAAGGGAUCAAUUUGAGCUUAUACAGAAAAGAAAUAAAAUAAAAAAAAAUAAAAAAAAUGCAAGAGAAAAAAGUAAAAGCAUAGGACAAAGUGGUUUUUAUACUACUAGUGGUACUUCAGAUAAUGAUAUAGAAUUAAAUACUAGUAUGAUAAGGGAUUUAAACAAACGUAAUGAAUCGAAUGUUAUGUUUGAGGAUGUACAAGAGUAUAGGAAAAUUCGUUUAAAUAAUCGUGGUAGAAGUGGUAGUAAUGGCAUUGACUUGUUUUAUAACAGUGGGGAAAGAAAUGUGAAUGGCAUUCCUUAUGGUAGCAUUGAUGGUUAUAGUAGUGAUGGUAGUAUUAGUAUUAGUAGUAGUGGUGGUGGUGGUGGUGAUAUUAUUAGUAGUAGUUCUAAUUUGAUGUAUAACGAACAACAAGCUGGUUUAAAUGAAACAAAAACAAAUAAACGUAAGAGUUCUUUUUUAGAUAUAUUUGCGAAUAUAUUACAGAAACCUAAAAAAACGAAAGAUGACGAAAACUUAGCUAAUUUUCAGAUAGACGAUGAAAUAGAAAAAAUGAGUAAAGAAUUUAAACAAGUAAGUAAUACAGAUCAAUUAAAAAUUACUAAUAGAUAUGGAUAUAAUUAUGAAUGUUCAAAUAUUGAAACAACAAUAUGGAUUGAAUUGACUUUAUUUGUGUCACAAAAUUUUAAUUUAUGUAGUAGCAAAUAUCUUGAUAAUUUUGACAUUUUUGAUAGUAUUAUCUAUACUAGUGGUAAUGUUGAAGGUAAUAGUAGUAGUAGUAGUAGUAAUAAUAAUAAUAAUAAUGGUCACUAUAAUAGCAAAAGUGUUCGCGAUAGUAGUAGAGGAGAAAAUGCAACAUCACAAAACGAUACAAAACUGAGAAGAGAAUAUUUAAAUAGCAAAAUAGAAAGGCUAUUUAUGUGCAUAUCAAACUGUAUAAUUAAUGAAAAUAAGAAAUAUUUUUCGUUUUGUUCUAAAAUUCGAAUCGACGACGUAGUUAAUAAUUUUAUUGUUGUUGAUGGUAAGAUAGCUGAAAAGGUGAAAGGAAAUAUAGCAAAUGUGUUAAAUAAUAAUUUUUUAAUAUAUAUAAAAUUUUUUUAUUAUUUAUUAUUAGUAGGGAAUUUAUAUACUACCAUAGUAUUUUUAUCAUGUAUAUCUAGUAAUGUUCAGCGCAUUUUGUUAGUGUUAAGUAUUUUUUCACAUAAAAAUAAUAUUUUUGAAAAUGAAAAAUUAAAUAAUAUAAAAAUGGAAACGUUGAACAAUUUAAAGUUCCUCAAAAGAUAUGAAUCUACAGAUUUAGGAACUCAUGGGGAUAAUACUAUUAAUGGUUUUAUCCGUGUCAAUGAUAAUAACUCACAUUAUAAUUAUAAUAAUCACCAUACCACCGAUGCUAUAGUAAAUAGUAGCAACAAUGACACGAAUUCAAACCAAUAUAAUUUGGAAAAUACAAAUUUAAUUGUCCUAAGUAUGAACAACCGUGAUUUACCAUAUGAACAUUUUAUACUUCGAAACAAUAACAUGAGCAUAUUAUUAAAAAUAAGUUACUUACUUAAUUUAAAAAGUAGUAUAAGCAUAAAAUUGUUAAAAACUGUAGUACAUGAGAAUCAAGAUAUGUUAUUACAUGAAAAUGUGAUUGGUCAUAUAAAUAAUGAUGGGAAUAUUUGUUAUGGGAAGUUACAUGAUUUUUUAUUUUUAUUUAAAAAUGAAGUAAAAUUAAAAAAAGAUAUAAAAAGUUCAUUUUUAAUGUAUUAUAUUUUAUAUAAAAAAAAGUUUACUAACAGUAAUAUAUUAAGAAGAAAAAAAGUG